GAUGAACGCUGGCGGCGUGCCUAAUACAUGCAAGUCGAGCGAACAGACGAGGAGCUUGCUUCUCUGACGUUAGCGGCGGACGGGUGAGUAACACGUGGAUAACCUACCUAUAAGACUGGGAUAACUUCGGGAAACCGGAGCUAAUACCGGAUAAUAUAUUGAACCGCAUGGUUCAAUAGUGAAAGACGGUCUUGCUGUCACUUAUAGAUGGAUCCGCGCUGCAUUAGCUAGUUGGUAAGGUAACGGCUUACCAAGGCAACGAUGCAUAGCCGACCUGAGAGGGUGAUCGGCCACACUGGAACUGAGACACGGUCCAGACUCCUACGGGAGGCAGCAGUAGGGAAUCUUCCGCAAUGGGCGAAAGCCUGACGGAGCAACGCCGCGUGAGUGAUGAAGGUCUUCGGAUCGUAAAACUCUGUUAUUAGGGAAGAACAAAUGUGUAAGUAACUGUGCACGUCUUGACGGUACCUAAUCAGAAAGCCACGGCUAACUACGUG
RNAcentral lists this ribosomal RNA (497 nucleotides) under uncultured bacterium. Its description in RNAcentral is "partial 16S ribosomal RNA". It matches the Rfam family "Bacterial small subunit ribosomal RNA", at positions 28 to 507 of the family's 1533-position model. The record is from RNAcentral.